This 2359-nucleotide long non-coding RNA is filed under the name Equus asinus (donkey). RNAcentral describes it as "lncRNA (ENSEASG00005035890.1)". Lineage: Eukaryota; Metazoa; Chordata; Mammalia; Perissodactyla; Equidae. The record is from RNAcentral.
UGAUGCUUCACACAUGCAGAGGGCACCAACAUUCCUCUGUCAAAGUUCUGAUUCACAAAGUAAAUUUUUACCAUUUUGAAGAUGUCAGUAGCUAUAGGAGUUUACAUAAGGGACCAACAAAAUCAGACUUUAAAAAAAAUAUUUCUGGUGCAUAAAUAAUAAGGGGGGGGGACAAAACAAGAGCUAACAGAAUCAAGAGAUAUCAGGGAUUCGUAGAGUUGCAUGUUGAAAGGAAAUGGCCCUACUGUGAGCUUAUUUAUGAAUACUUCAAUAUAUUGGAAGAAAUGGCAGCAAUUUGGGGGUUGGUAACAUAAUUUGACAGGAAAACAGCUUCAGUUUUCUACAUCUACCACAAGCCCCAAAUCAGCCUGACCGUUUCCAGGGCACAUCUCCUUGGCUUGGCAACAACGGUAGCAAUAACAACAGGUAAUAACGAAUGAUCAUACAUAUUGAACUGUGUUAACAUAUCAGUAGACGUUAGAGCAUUACUUUGCCAUUCUAUGUGACAAAUGUGUGUAUUAACAGGGCUCUUCAACACUCAAGUAGUCUUGACUCAAUACUCAAUAGUAAGGCAAUUUCUAAAUCUCAGUAUAUUGACAUUUUGGGCCAGAGAAUUCAUUGCUGCGGGGACUGUCCUGUGCAUUGUAGGAUGUUUAGCAGCAUCCCUGGCCUUACCCAUUAGAUGCCAGUAGCACUCCCACAGUGGUGACAACCAAAAAUGUCUCCAGACAUUGCCAAAUGUCCCUGAAGUGUCUUCCUGCUCUAAAGGAGUGACUCUAGUGGUGAGAAGUUAGAAACAUUGGCAUACUAAACUGAAGAUACUUUUGAGUGGACAGGACUUUUACUGUAUCUAAUUAGUUGAGGUAGGUAGUUCUUCACUUUGCUUAUAAAUCAAACCAACUCUGCCCCAAUUCCAGGUAACAGCUAUUGAUUGAGUACCUAUUGUAGACAGGAAACAUAACUUGCAUAGUCAGUAUACCUAGAGAUUAAGCACUUGGCUCUGGUGUCAGGCGCCUGGGUUGGAAUUCUGGCUCUAUUUGUUUGCGGUCUGACCUGGGAUAAUUUCCUUUACCUCUCUGCCAUUGUUUCUUCAUCUGUAAAAUAAAAUGACAUAGUGUAUGUGAAAUUACAUAGAAGUGUUUGAGAAUUCAAUGAAUCAAUGCACACAAGGCGCUUUGAACUGAGCCUAGGGUGUGGAAAACAGUAGAUAUUUACUGCUAUUCUUAAUCAUUACAACAGCUCUGAAACUUAGGUAACAUUAUCUAUGCUUUAUGCACUUGGAAGGGAAUAUUCAGAGAAAUCACGUGCAAAAUCACACAGCUGCUAAGUCACUUGGCUGGCAAGAAGAGAAGUCACGAAUCAAACUCUAAGACGACUGUUUCUCCCUACAGCCAGGCCCGAGUGGAAGACAGGCUAAACCCAGGUUAAACCUGGGAGGAAGAGUUCUCUUUCAGGGAUAAAAACUGGAACUUGUCCCCUUGGCUUGUUGCGUUCGCAGCGAGUAAUGGAAAGACUCACUGAACAGGAGCCGGAAAAACCGCUUUACCGCUGACCAGCUGUGAGAACUUGGGCGAGUCUCUCGAACAUCCUGAAGCUGUUUACUCAUCUGCAAAAUGGACGCAAAAACACCUGCUCUGCGUUCUUCACGGGCGGUGGUCAGAGUGAUGUGAGAAAAAGCAUGCAGCAGAGCACUGGAAAACUAUAACGUGCCCAACCAAUGUUGAGGUUGGGAAGGUAACGCUCUCGGCAGGUCAGGGAAAUUUUGAGCAUUUUUCUAGGCUGGGAGAAGGAUCCAUCCAGUGGCUAGAGAUUGAAGACAGGAAGAGAAAGAAGGACUGAGUCUGCUCUCAAGAGGCCUCAUUCCCAUGGGAGAUGGAAAGACAAUGGUCCUGCUGGGUUGAUGGACUGAAGAAAGAACAAGGCUUCACUUUACCUUCCCAGCUUCCUUAUCGGCUUCCCAGGAAUGACGCACAUUCUCUGUCUCAUCCUCCUCAAAAGGAGAAGCCCUUUUUCAUAUAGAAGAAGAAAAAAGAUAAAUUACUGAUUUUUAUUUAACUAUUUCUAUCAAAAUUAAAUAUGCACAUAGUUUAAAGAAUCGAAUGGUUCUACAUUACUAAAUAGCAGCCCCCUGCCCCCACGCCAUUUCUCACUCCUCAGAGGAGAUCACUUCCAAUGCUCUAACUAAUCCUUUUUGUUCUUUUGGAAUCACUGUAUCUCUAAACAGCGACUUCCUAAUUUUAUCUAAUCCCUUUCUACUGUGGAAAAUGGGGAUUUAGCUUUCACCCCUUCCGUUACCACACACAUACAUUUCCUGGGCUUAUAUACCUAUAUCAUUAUUAGAUUAAUACUCAGUGUUUAC